Molecule: ribosomal RNA, 605 nt
Filed under: Polyporus longiporus
Lineage: Eukaryota; Fungi; Basidiomycota; Agaricomycetes; Polyporales; Polyporaceae
Description: eukaryotic LSU rRNA
Rfam family: Eukaryotic large subunit ribosomal RNA
Source: RNAcentral
GUUGUAGUCUGGAGAAGUGCUUUCCGCGCUGGACCGUGUAUAAGUCUCUUGGAACAGAGCGUCAUAGAGGGUGAGAAUCCCGUCUUUGACACGGACUACCAGUGCUUUGUGAUGCGCUCUCAAAGAGUCGAGUUGUUUGGGAAUGCAGCUCAAAAUGGGUGGUGAAUUCCAUCUAAAGCUAAAUAUUGGCGAGAGACCGAUAGCGAACAAGUACCGUGAGGGAAAGAUGAAAAGCACUUUGGAAAGAGAGUUAAACAGUACGUGAAAUUGCUGAAAGGGAAACGCUUGAAGUCAGUCGCGUCUUCCGGAACUCAGCCUUCCUCUUGGUUGGUGCACUUUCCGGUUGACGGGCCAGCAUCAAUUUCGACCGUCGGAUAAGGGCUGGAGAAAUGUGGCACCUUUCGGGGUGUGUUAUAGUCUUCAGUCGCAUGCGUCGGUUGGGAUUGAGGAUCGCAGCGCGCCGCAAGGCAGGGGGUUAGCCCACUUUCGCGCUUAGGAUGCUGGCAUAAUGGCUUUAAACGACCCGUCUUGAAACACGGACCAAGGAGUCUAACAAACCUGCGAGUGUUUGGGUGGAAAACCCGAGCGCGUAAUGAAAGUGAAAG